Molecule: long non-coding RNA, 3855 nt
Organism: Onychomys torridus (southern grasshopper mouse)
Lineage: Eukaryota; Metazoa; Chordata; Mammalia; Rodentia; Cricetidae
Exons: 5
Source: RefSeq, a predicted model, not a curated record
AAGGGACGGCUCACCUUAAAUGCAGUAUCUGAUUAAUGUUGUAAGUGACAUUGCAUAUCAGCCUCAGAGUCUUGGCUCAACUGGGUAGGAGGGAACAAAGAAGAAUGUCAUCAACUGCUGAUGCAGGAUGAGCCCAAUCACUAACCACUGUUUAGCAAACUCCAAAUACUGCAACCAAGCAGUAGAAGGCAUUUCUUGCACUUAAGCAGGGCGGCCGCACAAUGAAUGAGUCCUUCUGCUUCUGAAAAUCAAACAGUCCUUUUGCUAAGGAAGAAAAUCAGCUGGAAUGAAUACUGUCAUAUCCUCUUCUUGGAGAGAGCUUGCAAUACAGGCUGAGAGUGUCAAGUCCCUCCCACGAGAGCUGCUGUGGGGAUUAAGGGAGAUUGUAUGCAUGCAAGAAGAGUGCCUGGAUCUUGAAGCCCUCAAUACGUGUUAAUGUCAUAGGAGAAUUUGAAUCGGAAGCUCUCACCAUGUGUAGUACAGCAUCCUGGUCCAGGGCUAGGUGUCCGAAAGUCUCCAGUCCGUCCUGAACCUGAAGUCACUUUGGUUUCCAGGAAUGUGAAGCCUCGUAGGUCACCCCAUGAUGGUACUCCAAGUUAAACAUACAGAUCUAAAGACUGGCAUCUAGGAUCCGUGUAUGAGAAAGAAUAUUUGAUGUUGUCCUGAGUCUUACCACAAAACCUCUUUAAAAAUCAAUUGGAACUUGGCAUUUGAAAUUGAUGAAAAUGGUCUAAAAAUGGACCCGAUUCUACAGCUUGUCAAAGGAAAUGAGUCAUUAGUUAUUUAUUUUUGGAGGGGGAAAAAGUGUCCCGAUUCAGUGUUUGGCCUCCUUCCAGCCACCAAGCAGGUGCAGCGAAUUGGAUAUUUCUAUAGGGAUAAGGACACAGCUAAAAUUGGUCUCAGAAAAUAUUUUCCUAGACUAUAAAAAUACUAAGUGGAAUACAAAAAUCCCAGCAUCUGAAGCCAAUAGCCUACAGCAGACAAAUACCUAGAACACACUUAAAGCUAUUUUGUGCCACGGUCAUGAGCAUCAAGUACUGUAACCAUUUCCCAGGAGCCUUCUGACCCGCUGUCUACUUCCCCAUCAGUCUGUCACCACGUCAGCCAGAGACUCCAGGCUGUGUUUCCAGCAGAAGCUAUAGCAGGACCUGCUGCACAACUUGGUAUCCAGCUGGUUCUGAAAGUGCCAGAAGGGCAGUGGUAACAAACAGGCUGUUUUUAAAGGUCAGGGGUCAGCAAACAGCCUGAGAGCCAGAGCUGGCUGCCACCUACUUAGUUUGGUCUGUGGAACAUAGUCACACACACACCUGUUUAUGUGUCGCCACGUCACCAGAGCACAGCUGAGAAGAUGCGACAGAGACUCUGGGUGACCUUUAGGUCUGCAGAGUCGAAGAUACUGACCUUCUGGUCCCUUCAUAGAAAGGCUGCCGCCCCUGCUUUGAACUCGUCACUUUGGGAAAAUCUCCACUCAGCAAGGUUAAGGUAAAUGUUCCGAGAUUAAGAAAAUGUUGGCAGAGCUUUGCUGGUUCCAUGGCAGGCCCAAACACAUAUGUGCUUGGACUGGCAACUCUGAGUACUGAAUCCGACGCUGGCAUUCUAAGCUGCACACAGCUAUAAUAGUGGGCCUUUUUUUCUCUGUGAAGCGGCUAUUUUGUACCAAGUAACAUACUGUUGUGUGCUUCCUGUUUGUCCGAAACCACGGGCAUGAUCUCCCGACUUAAUCUACAUCCAUUAGAACUCCACACUGUGAUUUAGCAACGGACAGAACCAGCAAGAAAACAGCACUGUGCUAAACACCUUUUAGGCCCCUUCCCCAUGACACGCAUCAUAAUAAUUAGUGCUACUGCCAUCCAGGGCUACAAACAUAUCCCUUUUGACAAAGCGAACCAGGUUCUCAAGAGGACACAUGGGCUUGGGAGAAUGCUUGUGGAAGUCGUGGCAGAAGGAGGUGUGGAAGGUGACGUCAGCCCCAUUAUAAAGAAUCCGGACGGAAUGUUCACUGGGCUUUUGACGGUCUUGCCAGAGCUCAAAGAUCAGCCUGGCGGCGAACCUUGGGAACCUGGCUUCCAAAAGCCCCAAGGCACUGAGGAUGGGGGACAGAGUGACGUCGUGAGCAGAGUAGAGGGUGAACAGCUCGUCCUUCCAGCCUGCAGCAGCAUGCAGCAUCCGGUUGACCGUCUGAUUUAGGAUGGGGUGUGCCCCGAGUAGCGAAUACCCAAAGUACAGGGGCUUCUCGUGCCUCUCGUGCUCAUCCUCUAUCUGGUGCGUCUUGAUCACCUUGAAAUGCUCCAUGCCAAGGCAGCCACUUCUGCUGCAGGGGAAGCUGAUGUUGUGGCAAAAGUGGCAGAGCAUGGAGUCAAUGGGGUUGGCCGCCCGGAGCUGCUUGGUGGGGAUGUCCACGAUCUUGGCCAUCUCCCCGUAGGUCCGCUCUAGGUCACUGUUCUUCAGACGCAGGAGGUACUGCCGUCGCUGCUCCUUCUCCAGAUACUGGUUUCUCAGUGGGCAGUAGCAGCUUCCUGAACAGAACAGGGCACUUGGCUGGUGCUUGAAAUAAAUCUUCUUCCAGUCAAAGUCUGGGAGGAAGCCGUAGAGCAAGGCUAGCCCGCUCUGGAGGGUGCGGCUCUUGCCGGUGGUCUCUAGGUAGAGCUGUUCUGAGGACCAGUUGUUUGGCAGAAGUUUGUGUUUCCUCAGGUAGAUGUCCCUCAGCAGCUGGCCAUUCUGCAGAUGCUGUACGACUCCUACAACACCAGGGACACAGAAUCCUUCUUACCAUGAGGUUAGCAAAGGGCCACGAAGGACCAGCACCCAUCUCUGGUGUGUUGGAGAGCUGUGGAAGUUAAAGGGAUGAGGCCUGUUUCCCCACAGGGAAGGAGAAGUCAUGAGAACGGUUUUGUGUCAACUAGUGUAGGGAUGGGGUGUGGAGGACAGCCUUUGUCAUAAGCCUCCCUAUCCAGGGCCUGUCAUUUGCAUGUACCCAGGGGCAGGUGUAUGCAUACUGCCCAGGGACACAGAAGUCCUCAGGCAGGGAUGGCUACAUGAAAUCCGUCUUACCAUCUACUUACCGUUGGGACAUUCCCUCCUUGACUCUGUUUCCAUUUUAAUGGCCAACUGAAGGCCUUCUGUUAACCUCUGCCACAUUCUGUCUGGCCCUGCAGGGACUUUCCAGGCUCAUCUAACUAGCUCGUUCUCUGCAAUUUCAGAAAUCCAGACAGUAGUUUAAGGAGCAAAAGGAAGACAGUAUGUUUAUUGUGCUCCUUUUAAAUGGAAAAGAAGGAAAAGCAAGAACGUGUGUUCACAGUUGCUUGCCUUGUGCAUAAAGCAGCUUUGGAUGGAUGUAGAGAAGCCAGUGGGGAUUGCUUCCAGAGAAGGAGGGCACAGAAGGGAGAUGGGUGGGAAGCGGGUAGAAACAAGACCUACAUUCCCUUUAAUACUUACUGUCUUGGCUUUGGACCACUGGAGGACAAUGAGCGGAUUUUUUAACGAAAUGAGAAAGCUUUAUCUGUAAGCAGGAAAGGGCAACUCAAAAGAAAAAAGCAGGCUUGCCCUCCGGCUUACAGAAAGUGAGGGAACGCCAUCUCAGUAAUGGGUGGGGCUCCUCUGAGACGUGAGUGACACACAGGCAGUAUGACCAGUUAUGUCAUCUUUGUUCGGGUGUCCAAACAGUUUGGAGAGUUCCAUCCCCAGAUGGGGCAGGUACUUUUACCUGAUGAGCUCCCUUUUCUACCUCCCGAUAUAUUCCUAUGCAAUAAGAUGGGAUAGGGAAGUGCCGGUUCACUAAGAUACUACCCCAUGUGCACAGCAGGAGAGGUUAGCAUUCAGGGUCUGUUUCUUUUUAAAUAAUCCUUUCAAAACUUU